UAACAAGGAUUCCCCUAGUAACGGCGAGUGAAGAGGGAAAAGCCCAGCACCGAAGCCUGCGGCAGUUUUGCUGUUAGGCAAUGUGGUGUUUGGGUCGGCUCGUGGGAUUGCCACUCCACUCGAAGUCCAGCAUUGAGUAUGGUCACUGGAUUUGGCCCAGAGAGGGUGAAAGGCCCGUACGGGUGGAGGUUCAGAAAUGAAAGGCAGUUCACCAGGCCGGCCUUAGAGUCGGGUUGUUUGAGAAUGCAGCCCAAAGCGGGUGGUAAACUCCAUCCAAGGCUAAAUACAAGCACGAGUCCGAUAGCGAACAAGUACCGUGAGGGAAAGUUGAAAAGUACUCUGAAGAGAGAGUAAACAGUACGUGAAACCGCAUGCAGGUAAACGGGUGGCGUCAAGCUGCAAGCGCAGGGGAUUCAGCCGGCUAGGAUGUUGUGUAUGUGCCUGGCGCAUCCAUCAGUCAGAGUAUGAUUGGAUAGUCCACUGGUAAACGGUGGGCCCGGCCGCAAGGCUGGGAUGUGUGUACCGGGUGUGUGCCGGAGCAUGCUAUCCGUCUAUGGACUGUCUAGCCGGUGCACUUUCUCUGUGCUGACACCACGACCGGUGGCAUUGCCAGUCUGCUGUGUCCAAGUCGUGUUCGGUCGGUCCUCGUGGCCAACUGGAUGCGAUCACAGGCAAACUCAGUAUACGGCGUAGAGGGGCUUCGGCACUUCUGCGUGUUAUCGGCUACUGGUUGUCAACGGGCUACCUAGUGUUUGUUGUAACCGGCACUUGGGUAGUCUGGUGGGACAUGGUGGUAAGAAUAACUGUGCAAGGCACCGGGUUGAGCGGCCUCAAAUGCACUCUGCCCGCGCGUUACAAGCGGUUAUGGCGGUGCUGUUGCUGCCUGCUCGUGGCUGGGUCUGACUGUCGUGUCGCCUGCGCAAAGUGGGCCCGGCAGUGGCUCGACCCGAGGUGGGUAGUGGAUGGUGCUGUCUGUGUGGAGUGUGGUGGGCCUCAUAGUCUGUGGUGUAGUGGUAGACGAGCUACCCGACCCGUCUUGAAACACGGACCAAGGAGUUCAACA
RNAcentral lists this ribosomal RNA (1063 nucleotides) under Acanthobothrium sp. ZX1. Its description in RNAcentral is "partial large subunit ribosomal RNA". It matches the Rfam family "Eukaryotic large subunit ribosomal RNA", at positions 66 to 680 of the family's 3401-position model. Lineage: Eukaryota; Metazoa; Platyhelminthes; Cestoda; Tetraphyllidea; Onchobothriidae. The record is from RNAcentral.